AUAUGGAUCAUUUUCACCAUUCAAAUUAGUUAGGUAUUAGGUCCGCAUCAAUAGCCAAAACUUGUAAACCUUUUGAUAUUUCUUUCCUCCACAUCAUCUUAGGUUUCCCCCUUCCCUUUCACUCCCUCCCCUAUUAACUUACUACACUUCCAUAUUGGAACAUUUGAUUCUCUGUGUUAUACAUGACCAAACCAUCUUAAACUACCCUUUCUCAUUUUUCUCUAAUAUGUGCAUCUUGUAGCCCACCCAUGGAUUUAGUUUCUACAAUCAAAAUCAAUAUUAAAAUAUGAAAUUCAAGUAAAUUCUAUGUGACACUUGUUAGGUGUAAUUUCAUCGUUAAAAUUCAGUUACCCUUACUUUGUAAAACACCCUAAAUGGUAAAACAAUAAUAUAUUUUUUUUUUCAAUUGUUCAACUAUUAAAUCAAAAGGUUUGAAAUAGUAAUAUAUUUGUGAAAUUGUUAGACUAUCAAACUAAAAAUGAAAAUUCGAUUUUGCCACUCCAAAAUUGAAAUUGAUUAAUAGAAAUAGAAUGAAAUUAUAACUAGUAUUUCUAGUUAAUAUGAUAAGGGAAAAUCUAACUAAAAAACUAACUUAUAAGAAUUACAAUAUCAUGAUUUUUAAUAAAUUCUAGGAACCAAUUAUAAUAACAAUGAUUUACUCAAUUGCAAUUAAAGUAAAAUUUGAGAAAAGUUCAUAUAUAAGAAUCACAAUAACAUGAUUUUAAUAAUAUAGCAUUUCACAAUUUCAAGGACCGAUGAUAAUUAUAACAAGUUAUCUAUUCAUUAAAAUUAAUAAAACCUUAAAA
RNAcentral lists this unclassified non-coding RNA (806 nucleotides) under Hevea brasiliensis (rubber tree). Lineage: Eukaryota; Viridiplantae; Streptophyta; Magnoliopsida; Malpighiales; Euphorbiaceae. The record is from RNAcentral.